RNAcentral lists this ribosomal RNA (292 nucleotides) under uncultured bacterium. RNAcentral describes it as "partial 16S ribosomal RNA". It matches the Rfam family "Bacterial small subunit ribosomal RNA", at positions 505 to 796 of the family's 1533-position model. The record is from RNAcentral.
GUGCCAGCCGCCGCGGUAAAACGUAGGUCCCGAGCGUUAUCCGGAUUUACUGGGCGUAAAGCGUGUUCAGGCGGUCUAGCAAGUCGGGCAUGAAAUCUCUCGGCUCAACCGGGAGGGGUUGUCCGAUACUGCUGGGCUUGAGGGCAGCAGAGGGUGGUGGAAUUCCGGGUGUAGUGGUGAAAUGCGUAGAUAUCCGGAGGAACACCAGUGGCGAAGGCGGCCACCUGGGCUGUACCUGACGCUCCAACACGAAAGCUAGGGGAGCGAACGGGAUUAGAAACCCUGGUAGUCC